Molecule: ribosomal RNA, 497 nt
Filed under: uncultured bacterium
Lineage: Bacteria
Description: partial 16S ribosomal RNA
Rfam family: Bacterial small subunit ribosomal RNA
Source: RNAcentral
GAUGAACGCUGGCGGCGUGCCUAAUACAUGCAAGUCGAGCGAAAAGACGCGGCGCUUGCUGCUCUGACGUUAGCGGCAGGCGGGUGAGAAACACGUGGAUAACCUACCUGUAAGUCUGGGAAAACUUCGGGAAACGGGAGCUAAUACGGGAUAAUAUAUUGAACCGCAGGGGUGAAUGGUAAAAGACGGUUUUGCGGGCACUAAUAGAUGGAUCCGCGCCGCAUUAGCUAGUUGGUAAGGUAAAGGCUUACCAAGGCAAGGAGGCGUAGACGACCGGAGAGGGUGAUCGGCCACACUGGAACUGAGCCACGGUCCAGACUCCUACGGGAGGCAGCAGUCUGGAAUCUUCCGCAACGGGGGAAAGCCUUACGCAGCAACGCCGCGUGAGUGAUGAAGGUCUUCGGAUCGUAAAACUCUGUUAUUAGGGAAGAACAAAUUUGUAAGUAACUAUGCCCGUCUUGACGGUACCUAAUCAGAAAGCCCCGGCUAACUACGUG